AGCAGCGUGGCUUUGUGGAAAGAGCACUGGCUUGUGAGACAGAGGAUGUGGGUUCUAAUCCCAGCUCUGCCA
Molecule: transfer RNA, 72 nt
Filed under: Ornithorhynchus anatinus (platypus)
Lineage: Eukaryota; Metazoa; Chordata; Mammalia; Monotremata; Ornithorhynchidae
Rfam family: tRNA
About the family: Transfer RNA (tRNA) molecules are approximately 80 nucleotides in length. Their secondary structure includes four short double-helical elements and three loops (D, anti-codon, and T loops). Further hydrogen bonds mediate the characteristic L-shaped molecular structure. tRNAs have two regions of fundamental functional importance: the anti-codon, which is responsible for specific mRNA codon recognition, and the 3' end, to which the tRNAs corresponding amino acid is attached (by aminoacyl-tRNA synthetases). tRNAs cope with the degeneracy of the genetic code in two manners: having more than one tRNA (with a specific anti-codon) for a particular amino acid; and 'wobble' base-pairing, i.e. permitting non-standard base-pairing at the 3rd anti-codon position.
Source: Rfam by way of RNAcentral